Molecule: ribosomal RNA, 124 nt
Filed under: Caloplaca cerina
Lineage: Eukaryota; Fungi; Ascomycota; Lecanoromycetes; Teloschistales; Teloschistaceae
Description: partial 18S ribosomal RNA
Source: RNAcentral
UAAACCGUGCAGUUCACAGAUCAAACGCGAGUGGCCUGCGCCCGCAGGUUGAGAUAUGACCGUAGCAGCUCUGCGAGGAGUCUGAUCGUCUAGUUCCGUAGGUGAACCUGCGGAAGGAUCAUUA